AACGAACGCUGGCGGCAUGCCUAACACAUGCAAGUCGAACGAGACCUUCGGGUCUAGUGGCGCACGGGUGCGUAACGCGUGGGAAUCUGCCCUUGGGUUCGGAAUAACAGUUAGAAAUGACUGCUAAUACCGGAUAAUGUCUUCGGACCAAAGAUUUAUCGCCCAGGGAUGAGCCCGCGUAGGAUUAGCUAGUUGGUGAGGUAAAGGCUCACCAAGGGCGACGAUCCUUAGCUGGUCUGAGAGGAUGAUCAGCCACACUGGGACUGAGACACGGCCCAGACUCCUACGGGAGGCAGCAGUGGGGAAUAUUGGACAAUGGGCGAAAGCCUGAUCCAGCAAUGCCGCGUGAGUGAUGAAGGCCUUAGGGUUGUAAAGCUCUUUUACCCGGGAUGAUAAUGACAGUACCGGGAGAAUAAGCCCCGGCUAACUCCGUGCCAGCAGCCGCGGUAAU
RNAcentral lists this ribosomal RNA (451 nucleotides) under uncultured bacterium. RNAcentral's name for it is "bacterial SSU rRNA". It matches the Rfam family "Bacterial small subunit ribosomal RNA", at positions 29 to 524 of the family's 1533-position model. The record is from RNAcentral.